RNAcentral lists this ribosomal RNA (506 nucleotides) under uncultured bacterium. Its description in RNAcentral is "partial 16S ribosomal RNA". It matches the Rfam family "Bacterial small subunit ribosomal RNA", at positions 29 to 523 of the family's 1533-position model. The record is from RNAcentral.
AGUGAACGCUGGCGGUAGGCCUAACACAUGCAAGUCGAACGGCAGCACAGGAGAGCUUGCUCUCUGGGUGGCGAGUGGCGGACGGGUGGGGAAUACAUCGGAAUCUACUCUGUCGUGGGGGAUAACGUAGGGAAACUUACGCUAAUACCGCAUACGACCUACGGGUGAAAGCAGGGGAUCUUCGGACCUUGCGCGAUUGAAUGAGCCGAUGUCGGAUUAGCUAGUUGGCGGGGUAAAAGCCCACCAAGGCGACGAUCCGUAGCUGGUCUGAGAGGAGGAGCAGCCACACUGGAACGGGGACACGGUCCAGACCCCUAAGGGAGGCAGCAGUGGGGAAUAUUGGACAAUGGGCGCAAGCCUGAUCCAGCCAUACCGCGUGGGUGAAGAAGGCCUUCGGGUUGUAAAGCCCUUUUGUUGGGAAAGGAAUCCAGCUGGUUAAUACCCGGUUGGGAUAACGGUACCCAAAGAAUAAGCACCGGCUAACUUCGUGCCAGCCGCCGCCGUAA